GACGAACGCUGGCGGCGUGCUUAACACAUGCAAGUCGAGCGGUAAGGCCCUUUCGGGGGUACACGAGCGGCGAACGGGUGAGUAACACGUGGGUGACCUGCCCUCAGCUCUGGGAUAAGCCUGGGAAACCGGGUCGUAAUACUGGAUAUGACUCCAUGACGCAUGUUGUGGGGUGGAAAGCCUUGUGCGGCUGAGGAUGGGCCCGCGGCCUAUCAGCUUGUUGGUGGGGUGAGGCCUACCAAGGCGACGACGGGUAGCCGGCCUGAGAGGGCGACCGGCCACACUGGGACGUGAGACACGGCCCAGACUCCUACGGGAGGCAGCAGUGGGGAAUCUUGCGCAAUGGGCGAAAGCCUGACGCAGCGACGCCG
This 371-nucleotide ribosomal RNA is filed under the name uncultured bacterium. RNAcentral's name for it is "bacterial SSU rRNA". It matches the Rfam family "Bacterial small subunit ribosomal RNA", at positions 28 to 399 of the family's 1533-position model. The record is from RNAcentral.